RNAcentral lists this ribosomal RNA (440 nucleotides) under uncultured bacterium. RNAcentral's name for it is "partial 16S ribosomal RNA". It matches the Rfam family "Bacterial small subunit ribosomal RNA", at positions 338 to 795 of the family's 1533-position model. The record is from RNAcentral.
CCUACGGGGGGCAGCAGUGGGGGAUAUUGCACAAUGGGGGAAACCCUGAUGCAGCGACGCCGCGUGAGUGAUGAAGUCCUUCGGUAUGUAAAGCUCUAUCAGCAGGGAAGAAAAUGACGGUACCUGACUAAGAAGCCACGGCUAACUACGUGCCAGCAGCCGCGGUAAUACGUAGGGGGCAAGCGUUAUCCGGAUUUACUGGGGGUAAAGGGAGCGUAGGCGGCAGUGCAAGUCUGAUGUGAAAGGCAAGGGCUCAACCCGAGGGCUGCUUUGGAAACUGGGCUGCUGGAGUGUCGGAGAGGCAAGUGGAAUUCCUAGUGUAGCGGUGAAAUGCGUAGAGAUUAGGAGGAACACCAGUGGCGAAGGCGGCUUGCUGGACGAUGACUGACGUUGAGGCUCGAAAGCGUGGGGAGCAAACAGGAUUAGAUACCCGAGUAGUC